CAGAGGGUGCAAACGUUGUUCGGAAUUACUGGGCGUAAGGCGUGUGUAGGCGGCCUCGUAGGUCGGAUGUGAAAGCUCUCGGCUCAACCGGGAAGUGCAUUCGAAACCACAAGGCUUGAGUGUCGGAGAGGAAGGCGGAAUUGUCGGUGUAGAGGUGAAAUUCGUAGAUAUCGACAGGAACACCUGCGGCGAAAGCGGCCUUCUGGACGAACACUGACGCUGAGACACGAAAGCGUGGGGAGCAAACAGGAUU
RNAcentral lists this ribosomal RNA (253 nucleotides) under uncultured bacterium. RNAcentral describes it as "partial 16S ribosomal RNA". It matches the Rfam family "Bacterial small subunit ribosomal RNA", at positions 526 to 779 of the family's 1533-position model. The record is from RNAcentral.